RNAcentral lists this ribosomal RNA (2189 nucleotides) under Salmonella enterica. RNAcentral's name for it is "partial 23S ribosomal RNA". It matches the Rfam family "Bacterial large subunit ribosomal RNA", at positions 711 to 2875 of the family's 2925-position model. The record is from RNAcentral. Lineage: Bacteria; Pseudomonadati; Pseudomonadota; Gammaproteobacteria; Enterobacterales; Enterobacteriaceae.
AGACCCGAAACCCGGUGAUCUAGCCAUGGGCAGGUUGAAGGUUGGGUAACACUAACUGGAGGACCGAACCGACUAAUGUUGAAAAAUUAGCGGAUGACCUGUGGCUGGGGGUGAAAGGCCAAUCAAACCGGGAGAUAGCUGGUUCUCCCCGAAAGCUAUUUAGGUAGCGCCUCGUGAAUUCAUCUCCGGGGGUAGAGCACUGUUUCGGCUAGGGGGCCAUCCCGGCUUACCAACCCGAUGCAAACUGCGAAUACCGGAGAAUGUUAUCACGGGAGACACACGGCGGGUGCUAACGUCCGUCGUGAAGAGGGAAACAACCCAGACCGCCAGCUAAGGUCCCAAAGUCAUGGUUAAGUGGGAAACGAUGUGGGAAGGCCCAGACAGCCAGGAUGUUGGCUUAGAAGCAGCCAUCAUUUAAAGAAAGCGUAAUAGCUCACUGGUCGAGUCGGCCUGCGCGGAAGAUGUAACGGGGCUAAACCAUGCACCGAAGCUGCGGCAGCGACGCUUAUGCGUUGUUGGGUAGGGGAGCGUUCUGUAAGCCUGUGAAGGUGUGUCGUGAGGCAUGCUGGAGGUAUCAGAAGUGCGAAUGCUGACAUAAGUAACGAUAAAGCGGGUGAAAAGCCCGCUCGCCGGAAGACCAAGGGUUCCUGUCCAACGUUAAUCGGGGCAGGGUGAGUCGACCCCUAAGGCGAGGCCGAAAGGCGUAGUCGAUGGGAAACGGGUUAAUAUUCCCGUACUUGGUGUUACUGCGAAGGGGGGACGGAGAAGGCUAUGUUGGCCGGGCGACGGUUGUCCCGGUUUAAGCGUGUAGGUGUGUGUUCCAGGUAAAUCCGGUUCACUUUAACACUGAGGCGUGAUGACGAGGCACUACGGUGCUGAAGUAACAAAUGCCCUGCUUCCAGGAAAAGCCUCUAAGCAUCAGGUAACAUCAAAUCGUACCCCAAACCGACACAGGUGGUCAGGUAGAGAAUACCAAGGCGCUUGAGAGAACUCGGGUGAAGGAACUAGGCAAAAUGGUGCCGUAACUUCGGGAGAAGGCACGCUGACACGUAGGUGAAGUGAUUUACUCACGGAGCUGAAGUCAGUCGAAGAUACCAGCUGGCUGCAACUGUUUAUUAAAAACACAGCACUGUGCAAACACGAAAGUGGACGUAUACGGUGUGACGCCUGCCCGGUGCCGGAAGGUUAAUUGAUGGGGUCAGCGCAAGCGAAGCUCCUGAUCGAAGCCCCGGUAAACGGCGGCCGUAACUAUAACGGUCCUAAGGUAGCGAAAUUCCUUGUCGGGUAAGUUCCGACCUGCACGAAUGGCGUAAUGAUGGCCAGGCUGUCUCCACCCGAGACUCAGUGAAAUUGAACUCGCUGUGAAGAUGCAGUGUACCCGCGGCAAGACGGAAAGACCCCGUGAACCUUUACUAUAGCUUGACACUGAACAUUGAGCCUUGAUGUGUAGGAUAGGUGGGAGGCUUUGAAGUGUGGACGCCAGUCUGCAUGGAGCCGACCUUGAAAUACCACCCUUUAAUGUUUGAUGUUCUAACGUGGACCCGUUACCCGGGUUGCGGACAGUGUCUGGUGGGUAGUUUGACUGGGGCGGUCUCCUCCUAAAGAGUAACGGAGGAGCACGAAGGUUGGCUAAUCCUGGUCGGACAUCAGGAGGUUAGUGCAAUGGCAUAAGCCAGCUUGACUGCGAGCGUGACGGCGCGAGCAGGUGCGAAAGCAGGUCAUAGUGAUCCGGUGGUUCUGAAUGGAAGGGCCAUCGCUCAACGGAUAAAAGGUACUCCGGGGAUAACAGGCUGAUACCGCCCAAGAGUUCAUAUCGACGGCGGUGUUUGGCACCUCGAUGUCGGCUCAUCACAUCCUGGGGCUGAAGUAGGUCCCAAGGGUAUGGCUGUUCGCCAUUUAAAGUGGUACGCGAGCUGGGUUUAGAACGUCGUGAGACAGUUCGGUCCCUAUCUGCCGUGGGCGCUGGAGAACUGAGGGGGGCUGCUCCUAGUACGAGAGGACCGGAGUGGACGCAUCACUGGUGUUCGGGUUGUCAUGCCAAUGGCACUGCCCGGUAGCUAAAUGCGGAAGAGAUAAGUGCUGAAAGCAUCUAAGCACGAAACUUGCCCCGAGAUGAGUUCUCCCUGAGACUUUAGGUCUCCUGAAGGAACGUUGAAGACGACGACGUUGAUAGGCCGGGUGUGUAAGCG